GAUGAACGCUGGCGGCGUGCCUAAUACAUGCAAGUCGAACGCAUAGCGAAAGGUGCUCGCACCUUUCAAGUGAGUGGCGAACGGGUGAGUAACACGUGGACAACCUGCCUCAAGGCUGGGGAUAACAUUUGGAAACAGAUGCUAAUACCGAAUAAAACUUAGUGUCGCAUGACACAAAGUUAAAAGGCGCUUCGGCGUCACCUAGAGAUGGAUCCGCGGUGCAUUAGUUAGUUGGUGGGGUAAAGGCCUACCAAGACAAUGAUGCAUAGCCGAGUUGAGAGACUGAUCGGCCACAUUGGGACUGAGACACGGCCCAAACUCCUACGGGAGGCUGCAGUAGGGAAUCUUCCACAAUGGGCGAAAGCCUGAUGGAGCAACGCCGCGUGUGUGAUGAAGGCUUUCGGGUCGUAAAGCACUGUUGUAUGGGAAGAACAGCUAGAAUAGGAAAUGAUUUUAGUUUGACGGUACCAUACCAGAAAGGGACGGCUAAAUACGUG
RNAcentral lists this ribosomal RNA (497 nucleotides) under uncultured bacterium. RNAcentral's name for it is "partial 16S ribosomal RNA". It matches the Rfam family "Bacterial small subunit ribosomal RNA", at positions 28 to 507 of the family's 1533-position model. The record is from RNAcentral.